This is a long non-coding RNA of Megalobrama amblycephala (Wuchang bream), 3619 nucleotides long. RefSeq lists it as uncharacterized. The transcript is spliced from 3 exons. NCBI's taxonomy places the organism in Eukaryota, Metazoa, Chordata, Actinopteri, Cypriniformes, Xenocyprididae. The record is from RefSeq and is a predicted model, not a curated record.
GUCUAUCUCUCUGUCUAUCUGUCAUUAUCUAUUUAUCUAUCUAUCUGUCUAUCUGUCUGUCACUUGUUUCUUUGUUGCAUGGGAUUUGUGCUACUUUCUUCCUAACUUUUUUGUCAAUUUUGUCAGUUGAAAUACACAGGAUUGAUUGGAUAAACAGUAAAUUAAGUUUAGUUUACUAAAAUCAAAACCUAAAUAUUUCACAAACAGAAACAGCAAGUAACACAUUGAAUGAAACGUGGCAUUUUAGCAUUUUCUUGUGAAACGCACUCCAAAUUUUAUAAUAAAAAAUAGAUUUUUCUUGUGUUGUUAUGUUGUUUGCAAAGACUUUUGUCAAAAUACGUUUUAAUAAGUUUUUUGCCCUCAUUAAGGUGUAAUUAUAACAUCUACCAGCAGGGGCUAACUUCUAAAGCGAACCAGCUAAACCUUGCACAUUGCUAAGGUAUUACUACAAACAGUCAUUUUUCUUGAGUCAUCAAACACCACUAAUAUCAGGACUGAGAUGGUGUCAAAUAAUUAUUCAAACAUACACUCUCUUACUCUUCAGCGUUAGCAACUGGCCUCUGUUCAAGCUUUACUCAGAUAGCCAUCUGAAAGACAAGGCCUUUUCCCUGCUGUCCAUGAGAAACAUUUGCAGCAUGAGUGAAUCACGGCAUCAAACACUGAACGCCGGGGUCUUGCGGCUCCCAAGUGAUUUGUUAAGUUCGAGAGUCGCAGUCUGUGUUGGCACAGCAAAAAGUCAUGAUUCCCAACAAAACUGAAAAGAAAAACAAAGUGCACAGUGUGCUGCUAGCCAUUUAGUGCGCACUUCUUCACUGUGAGUUUAAGCCGGAGUAUUUCUAAUGUCGGAGUUGUUUACUAGCUCUUUUCCAAAACUUAGUGCCUUGCUGUUUACUUUCUGCAAAAAUACCUGAUCUGGAGCGCUCUUUGUAAGUGCCACACAAAUAGCAAUCUAUUCACAAAUGAUUACAUUUAAUUAUCUAAAAUGAAUUUUAAAAGAAUAUACAUAAAAAAGCUAUUUUGUAUUUUUAUAAUUAUAUUCUUCUACCAACAUAAGGCAACAUAAUGUUGAAGCCUUUGUGUCAUCUUAUGAUGCUUUAAAAUCAAAGUAGGCAGCUCACUACAUUCAGAGCUACUGCUUCAGUAAAGAGCUUUGUUAUGGGGUGAAUUCAGUUCCUGUGUGCUUACAGGAGUUUGAAGAUGAUGCACUUUUUCCUGAAACUCAUCUACUGAACAAGUGAACAUGUAGGCCAGACUGACAGGAUGCCCUGAAGAGAGAAGCACAUCAAUUUAGAGCCAUGCUGUCAAUCCAGCACUAAACUGGUGCUCCAACAUCCGCUGACCUCCGUUUAUCACCAAGGAUGUGAAAACCUAAUAAAGUAUGAACCGUGGGACCAAUUCUCCUUUCCACCUUUUGUCACAGCCAUGAAAACCCACGCCUGCUAGAACAGCACAUCUGCCCUUAAUAACUGGAAAUCCUUUUCUGUCGCCUGAGUCAUGGAUGCUGGAUUUUCUUCCAUUCCAAGUGCUUGGGAUCCUCUGAAAAAAGGCCACAGAGUGUGUGUGUGUCUGAUUUUGUUACUUGAGGACAGUGUGUGACUCUUCUCUGAAGCUCUAGAGGUGGCUUGUGAUUAUAUUACACUCUUAAAAAUAAAGGUUCUUUUUUGGCAUGAUGCAGAACCUUUAAAAUCCAUAGAAUCUUUCCAUUCCACAAAAGGGAUGGGAUCGGGAAAGGUCCACGAGCUGGGACUCGAACUCGAGCUCAACGGUGAUAUAUGUCGAUGUGCUGCCCACUAGGCUAUCGGCGCCAACAUAGAUAUAUAUGUUUAUUACCGGUUUGUGUUAUGUGCUAUUCCCUUUUCACAGAGUUACCCAAGAUAAAUGUUACUUUGUACAAUCUACAUUCCUGCAAAGAUGACAAAAUGUACUAGCAAUUGCUGUCCUGUGGCAAAAUAAGGGCAAUCAGUGUUGCCAGAUUGUGUCAAUGAUUUCCAGCCCAAAAAUCACCCACUCCAAGAAAAACCCGCCCAAAUCUUUAACUGCCAAAACAAUGUGAUAGAAUUUUUUUGCACAAAAAAAAACAAAAUAAUUAUAACAAAGAAAAAAAUAAAUGAAUAAAAAUUAAAAUUUCCCAGGAAAACGGGUCAAAACAAGUCAAAUACUGUACUUUAAAGAGAAUGAGCAAAUAUGACUAAAAUGUCCAGGUGGAAACUGUCAAAACAGCAAUCAAAAAAUUAACAUUUUGUUUUUAAUUCUUUUUAUAACUUUCAUUUCAUCAUUUUUAUUCUGCCAUAUGCCAUAUUCUGAACCCGCCCAAUCUGGCAACACUGAGGGCAGUUGGGUUUUAGACCAAUCAUGAAAUAGCGACUGAAUGACUCCAUCAGUAAAUAUUGGGAUAUUCUGCUAAUAAAAUGAUCAUGCCAGAAGGAUAGCAUGAGAACUUCUGUAGCUCAAACAGUGGAGCAUGGCGUUGGCGAUACCAAGGUUUGGGUUCGAUUCUCAGGGAAUGCAUGAACUGAUUACAAUGUCUUGAAUACAGUGUAAGUCGCUUUGUAUAAAAGUGUCUGCCAAAUGAUUAAAGUGACUCUAUUAUGCUAUUUUAAUCUCCUACAAUAGAUUUACAUGAAUCCAAGUUCAAAAAACACCUUAAUUUUCUCAUAAUAUACAUUGCAGUAUCACCUAAUUUCUCAAAGCAUCUGAAAACGGUUAGUUCGAAGAUUCUGUCUCUCUAAACCCCUCCUUUCCGAAAGCCUGCUCUGCUCUGAUUGGUCAGAUGCCCCAGUCUGUUGUGAUUGGUCUACUACUUACAGAGCAUGUCGGAAACAAAACGGCUAUAACCAUAUCUGAAUUUCAGCUCCAGAUCAUCCUCAGCACUUGAUACACAGUGAAAUGAAUUAUGCCAUCAGUUUUUCCAUAUCAAUUAGAGCACAAAUCCUCAUGCUUUGGAUGUGCAGCAAAUUGGAUUUGCUUUUGCAGCACAGAAAACAGCGUCUUCUUGACAUGUCAACAACACAAACCAAACUCUUCAGCCCUCAGCUACAGACCAUAGACGGGCAUUAUGCAAAAUUUUUACAUUGUUACACAGGAAGUGAGACUGGAAUUGCUGACGACUCGUUUAGGCAGUUCAGAAUCGAUUCUUUCAUUUGAUCUUUAAAACUUUGCAGACCUUUUACCUUCAUAAACAGCUAUAUUACACACUGCAUGAAAGCUAAUUGAUAUGGUAAUGGACUCUUAUUUUGAUAUUCUGUUCUGAUUCCUUUAGUUCCUGUUUCCCUGCUCUGUUUAGUUUCGGAUUCCCUGAUUUCUGUUUAUGUCCCUGUUUGUUUAUGUGAUUAAUUAUCAUCAGCUGUAUCUUAUUUAGUUCCUGAUUAUGCCCUGCAUAUAUACUCUCUUCAGUUUAGUCCUUUAUUGUCGGUUAUUGUUUAUGUUUGUGGUUGUGUUUCCAAUGUAUUCGUGAAUAAAGAUGAUUCUAGUUUAUUCUCUUUGUCGUGCGAUUGUUACAGCCACCCUUACACUAAUAUAACGGGGCACUAUAAAUGUAAACUUUAUUAUGUUCUUUACUAUAAUCUCAGUAAGCUUUUGUUAUGUUUUACGCAUGCGCAGUAAGAUCAUUUAAGCAUUU